UACGUAGGGUGCGAGCGUUGUCCGGAAUUAUUGGGCGUAAAGGGCUCGUAGGCGGUUUGUCGCGUCGGGAGUGAAAACCUUGGGCUUAACUCAGGGCUUGCUUUCGAUACGGGCAGACUAGAGGUAUGCAGGGGAGAACGGAAUUCCUGGUGUAGCGGUGAAAUGCGCAGAUAUCAGGAGGAACACCGGUGGCGAAGGCGGUUCUCUGGGCCUGUACUGACGCUGAGGAGCGAAAGCGUGGGGAGCGAACAGG
RNAcentral lists this ribosomal RNA (253 nucleotides) under uncultured bacterium. Its description in RNAcentral is "partial 16S ribosomal RNA". It matches the Rfam family "Bacterial small subunit ribosomal RNA", at positions 524 to 776 of the family's 1533-position model. The record is from RNAcentral.